CCCCCUUACAAAAAAUUUUUUUUCGAAAAUCAAAAAACUUGUGAUGGGGAUAGUUAGCUGUGCUUGUUGGCAGUAUAAGACGGUCUUCAUUUCAGCUCUGUCGCCGUUUUUGGCCAAGUUAUAGAGGAAACCCCGCUUAAAAUGUAAGAUUUUUGACAUUUGCUGUUUUCUGUGUGUAUUGGCGGUACAAAGCAGUCUUCGAGCUAGAGAGCUGAAAAGAUUCAGAUUGCUUUCAUAAAAAUCUCUAGCGCGAGCCCCUAAAGCCAUCCGACUCCCUUUAAAGACCGCCGCCUCUGGGGGAACCCCCGCCCGGGUGAGUGUGCGAUAUCUGUAUCUGCCAGAUGCAUCUAGUUUUGGCUCUCGACUUGCAUGGGGAUUGGGGCUCAAACAAUUUGCCGCCUGUCAGUGUGACAAGUGUUGCGAAAUGCCGCUGAAAAGCCGCUUUGCCGCACACACGGCAAAGACUCAUGGAUAGUUGAUAGUUGAUGGUUGAGCAGACAGCUGAACAGUGAGCUCUCCUCUUGACGCACCACUUGGCGUCUCGGAUUCAAGUUUGGUCAGUCCAUUCGUUGCGGAUAUGCCACAUCUUAGUGGCAAGUCGCUGAAUCAGAAAGGGAAUGGGUCUUGCGACUGAAUAUAGUUUAAGAGCUUUAAGAAUCUUUAUUUGUUUCGUAAGGAAUUUGUGUUUGAUUAAAAUUUUCACGUAAAAAGGUGCUUGAAGAGCUCAGUGAACUUCUGAAGCUGGGCUCUAAUGCAUUUCGUUGCUUAUUUGGUUUACACUUUAUUUUAUUUAGGUGCCGUUUGGCUUCUUUUUUUGCCGUCUUGAGCGGCUUGAUGCGAAUUGACAGCUGUUUGCCAGAUGCCCGAGGUUGGGGGAGCGUUCAGAGGCGACUGUCAGCCAGACUCACUGGCGGCACAACUUCAAAAACUACUGAUUUAAUUCGCCACGAAAGCGUUUGCAAUUAGCGAACGGUGACCACAGUUGGCGAUGUUCAGUAAACGCGGGAAAAUGGGCAAGGAACUGUGAAUUGUAUAAAGUAGUAAACUUCGCUAAUUCAUAAUUCAUAACUUCAGAUCGGUGACUUAAUUCGCGGUGCAAGGAGCGGCAAAACCCCAAAACUAUUGAUGUUCCCUAGUGCCAUCAGCAGCGGCAUAUGCAGAUAGGCAUACUUUAGAUCUGUCACUCUUCAUUAGCCCUAGCAUAGAUUGUCCUUAUUCCAAACAUGUGUAUCGAGUCGAGUUAUUGUAGCAAGCCGAGCCGUGUUAGCCGUCUUUUCAGUCCCCUCAACGUGAUCGCUGCCACAACUGUCAAGCAAUGCCGACGACGUACGGCUGUCGUCUCACAAUUAAUUGACAUUUUGACUGCCGAGGAUUGUCAUUCAAAGGCAAACUUCUUCGAGCGGAAUGCACCGAAGGAGCCCCUCGCCAAUUGACAGAGAUGCUGAGAUGCGGAGAUGCGGAGUCAUUCGCCGAACAGCAAAAGGCACACCAUUAACUACUGUCUUUGUCUGAACGGAAGGUCUGAGUGUUUGGUUUGAUAUGGAAGUUGCUCGAAACAUUCACAGAGGUAGAUCUUAAAAGAUUUUCAAAGCGAUUUAAUAUUUUCAGAUAAUAUUUAAAGUUAUAUUUAGGGGCUUAUAGUACGAUAUAUAAACUUAAUCCUCGCUGUAUUUACGGAAUGCACGGAAUGCCUUUAAGUCGCUGACUACUGCUGUUCCGAUCCGUUUCCAAGCUAGAUAAUCUGCCUCAGCGAUCUCAAAGGCCCAAAGGCACUUCAGCUGGCCCAGAUCUCUGGGGCUCUGCGAGGUUCUGCAGCUACGUUGGCAAUACAAUUGGCACAUGUUUGGCCAGUCCUGUCCCCGUCUGGAGCUACUUCGACGGUCUCUGGAGGGCAUCAGAGUUUGGGGAUCGGGAAUCGGGAAGCGAGAAUCGAGAAUCGAGAACCGAGAACCGGGAGACCUGACAGCCCGUGGCAUUGUUUGGGCUUUGGGGAAGAUUCGAAGAAACAGAAGAUGGCAUCUCCAAUGGGCGGCGAAGAGGGAGAGCGGUCGGGUCAAUUCACACGUGCGCAGGCGCGCAGUUCAAUUAACUUAAUUGCCAUGUAAUUACGAGGAGCAACAACAACAGCAACAGUGAGUAAUACCACGCCACAAACCACCACAUCGCAACGUCAUCUCCAACAUCCUGCUGCGCUGCGCAAAAGCGAAACUAAAGACUUAGGACACAAACCUGCUUUCGAGGCUUUUUGCGAUGGCACUUCUCUUAUACCCUCACAGAACUUUAUUACGGAUUUAAUUUGGGAAAUGUUAGCUUGUAUCAAUUUAAUAUCAACAAUUUAAUAUCAGUUUAAAGUCAACUAUUAACAUUUUUGCAA
Drosophila yakuba is the source of this 2374-nucleotide long non-coding RNA. RefSeq lists it as uncharacterized. The transcript is spliced from 2 exons. NCBI's taxonomy places the organism in Eukaryota, Metazoa, Arthropoda, Insecta, Diptera, Drosophilidae. The record is from RefSeq and is a predicted model, not a curated record.